UACGAAGGGGGCUAGCGUUGCUCGGAAUUACUGGGCGUAAAGCGCACGUAGGCGGCUUUCUAAGUCGGGGGUGAAAUCCUGGAGCUCAACUCCAGAACUGCCUUCGAUACUGGAGAGCUUGAGUCCGGGAGAGGUGAGUGGAACUGCGAGUGUAGAGGUGAAAUUCGUAGAUAUUCGCAAGAACACCAGUGGCGAAGGCGGCUCACUGGCCCGGUACUGACGCUGAGGUGCGAAAGCGUGGGGAGCAAAAGGG
RNAcentral lists this ribosomal RNA (253 nucleotides) under uncultured bacterium. RNAcentral's name for it is "partial 16S ribosomal RNA". It matches the Rfam family "Bacterial small subunit ribosomal RNA", at positions 524 to 776 of the family's 1533-position model. The record is from RNAcentral.